RNAcentral lists this ribosomal RNA (404 nucleotides) under Pseudomonas sp. RNAcentral's name for it is "partial 16S ribosomal RNA". It matches the Rfam family "Bacterial small subunit ribosomal RNA", at positions 355 to 776 of the family's 1533-position model. The record is from RNAcentral. RNAcentral also lists the same sequence under 3 other names. Lineage: Bacteria; Pseudomonadati; Pseudomonadota; Gammaproteobacteria; Pseudomonadales; Pseudomonadaceae.
UGGGGAAUAUUGGACAAUGGGCGCAAGCCUGAUCCAGCCAUGCCGCGUGAGUGAUGAAGGCCCUAGGGUUGUAAAGCUCUUUCACCGGUGAAGAUAAUGACGGUAACCGGAGAAGAAGCCCCGGCUAACUUCGUGCCAGCAGCCGCGGUAAUACGAAGGGGGCUAGCGUUGUUCGGAUUUACUGGGCGUAAAGCGCACGUAGGCGGACUUUUAAGUCAGGGGUGAAAUCCCGGGGCUCAACCCCGGAACUGCCUUUGAUACUGGAAGCCUUGAGUAUGGUAGAGGUGAGUGGAAUUCCGAGUGUAGAGGUGAAAUUCGUAGAUAUUCGGAGGAACACCAGUGGCGAAGGCGGCUCACUGGACCAUUACUGACGCUGAGGUGCGAAAGCGUGGGGAGCAAACAGG